CCUACGGGGGGCAGCAGUGGGGAAUAUUGCACAAUGGGGGAAACCCUGAUGCAGCGACGCCGCGUGAGUGAAGAAGGAUUUCGGUAUGUAAAGCUCUAUCAGCAGGGAAGAAAAUGACGGUACCUGAGUAAGAAGCACCGGCUAACUACGUGCCAGCAGCCGCGGGAAUACGUAGGGGGCAAGCGUUAGCCGGAUUGACGGGGGGUAAAGGGAGCGUAGACGGCAGCACAAGUCGGGAGUGAAAUGCCGGGGCUUAACCCCUGAACUGCUUUGGAAACUGUGCAGCUAGAGUGCAGGAGAGGUAAGUGGAAUUCCUAGUGUAGCGGUGAAAUGCGUAGAUAUUAGGAGGAACACCAGUGGCGAAGGCGGCUUCCUGGACUGUAACUGACGUUGAGGCUCGAACGCGUGGGGAGCAAACAGGAUUAGAUACCCGGGUAGUC
This 440-nucleotide ribosomal RNA is filed under the name uncultured bacterium. RNAcentral's name for it is "partial 16S ribosomal RNA". It matches the Rfam family "Bacterial small subunit ribosomal RNA", at positions 338 to 795 of the family's 1533-position model. The record is from RNAcentral.